RNAcentral lists this ribosomal RNA (397 nucleotides) under uncultured Gammaproteobacteria bacterium. Its description in RNAcentral is "bacterial SSU rRNA". It matches the Rfam family "Bacterial small subunit ribosomal RNA", at positions 114 to 507 of the family's 1533-position model. Lineage: Bacteria; Pseudomonadati; Pseudomonadota; Gammaproteobacteria. The record is from RNAcentral.
CGCGUGGGAAUCUACCUGGUAGCGGGGGACAACAGUCGGAAACGACUGCUAAUACCGCAUACGCCCUUCGGGGGAAAGUGGGGGAUCUUCGGACCUCACGCUAUCAGAUGAGCCCGCGUCGGAUUAGCUUGUUGGUGAGGUAAAGGCUCACCAAGGCGAUGAUCCGUAGCUGGUCUGAGAGGAUGACCAGCCACACUGGGACUGAGACACGGCCCAGACUCCUACGGGAGGCAGCAGUGGGGAAUAUUGGACAAUGGGGGCAACCCUGAUCCAGCCAUGCCGCGUGUGUGAAGAAGGCCUUCGGGUUGUAAAGCACUUUCAGCUGUGAGGAAAGGUGAGUGGUUAAUACCCGCUUGCUGUGACGUUAACAGCAGAAGAAGGACCGGCUAACUCCGUG